CAAAAUAUAGCUUAACUAAAGCAUCUCGCUUACACCGAGAACAUAUCUGUUAAAUCCAGGUUAUUUUGA
Molecule: transfer RNA, 69 nt
Filed under: Osteocephalus leprieurii (Cayenne slender-legged treefrog)
Lineage: Eukaryota; Metazoa; Chordata; Amphibia; Anura; Hylidae
Description: tRNA-Val
Rfam family: tRNA
About the family: Transfer RNA (tRNA) molecules are approximately 80 nucleotides in length.
Source: RNAcentral